CCUACGGGCGGCAGCAGUGGGGAAUAUUGGACAAUGGGGGCAACCCUGAUCCAGCCAUGCCGCGUGUGUGAAGAAGGCCCUCGGGUUGUAAAGCACUUUCAGUGAGGAAGAACGCCUGGUGGUUAAUACCCAUCAGGAAAGACAUCACUCACAGAAGAAGUACCGGCUAACUCCGUGCCAGCAGCCGCGGUAAUACGGAGGGUGCGAGCGUUAAUCGGAAUUACUGGGCGUAAAGCGCGCGUAGGUGGCUUGAUAAGCCGGUUGUGAAAGCCCCGGGCUCAACCUGGGAACGGCAUCCGGAACUGUCAAGCUAGAGUGCAGGAGAGGAAGGUAGAAUUCCCGGUGUAGCGGUGAAAUGCGUAGAGAUCGGGAGGAAUACCAGUGGCGAAGGCGGCCUUCUGGACUGACACUGACACUGAGGUGCGAAAGCGUGGGUAGCAAACAGGAUUAGAUACCCUAGUAGUC
RNAcentral lists this ribosomal RNA (465 nucleotides) under Vreelandella stevensii. RNAcentral describes it as "partial 16S ribosomal RNA". It matches the Rfam family "Bacterial small subunit ribosomal RNA", at positions 338 to 795 of the family's 1533-position model. The record is from RNAcentral. Lineage: Bacteria; Pseudomonadati; Pseudomonadota; Gammaproteobacteria; Oceanospirillales; Halomonadaceae.